AACGAACGCUGGCGGCAGGCCUAACACAUGCAAGUCGAGCGCCCCGCAAGGGGAGCGGCGGACGGGUGAGUAACGCGUGGGAAUAUGCCCUUUGCUACGGAAUAGUCUCGGGAAACUGGGGGUAAUACCGUAUACGCCCUUUGGGGGAAAGAUUUAUCGGCGAAGGAUUAGCCCGCGUUGGAUUAGGUAGUUGGUGGGGUAAUGGCCUACCAAGCCGACGAUCCAUAGCUGGUUUGAGAGGAUGAUCAGCCACACUGGGACUGAGACACGGCCCAGACUCCUACGGGAGGCAGCAGUGGGGAAUCUUAGACAAUGGGGGCAACCCUGAUCUAGCCAUGCCGCGUGAGUGAUGAAGGACUUAGGGUUGUAAAGCUCUUUCAGCUGGGAAGAUAAUGACGGUACCAGCAGAAGAAGCCCCGGCUAACUCCGU
Molecule: ribosomal RNA, 430 nt
Filed under: uncultured bacterium
Lineage: Bacteria
Description: partial 16S ribosomal RNA
Rfam family: Bacterial small subunit ribosomal RNA
Source: RNAcentral